CCUACGGGGGGCAACAGUGGGGAAUAUUGGACAAUGGGCGCAAGCCUGAUCCAACCAUGCCGCGUGAGUGAUGAAGGCCCUAGGGUUGUAAAGCUCUUUUGUGCGGGAAGAUAAUGACGGUACCGCAAGAAUAAGCCCCGGCUAACUUCGUGCCAGCAGCCGCGGUAAUACGAAGGGGGCUAGCGUUGCUCGGAAUCACUGGGCGUAAAGGGUGCGUAGGCGGGUCUUUAAGUCAGGGGUGAAAUCCUGGAGCUCAACUCCAGAACUGCCUUUGAUACUGAGGAUCUUGAGUUCGGGAGAGGUGAGUGGAACUGCGAGUGUAGAGGUGAAAGUCGUAGAUAUUCGCAAGAACACCAGUGGCGAAGGCGGCUCACUGGCCCGAUACUGACGCUGAGGCACGAAAGCGUGGGGAGCAAACAGGAUUAGAUACCCUUGUAGUC
Molecule: ribosomal RNA, 440 nt
Filed under: uncultured Bradyrhizobiaceae bacterium
Lineage: Bacteria; Pseudomonadati; Pseudomonadota; Alphaproteobacteria; Hyphomicrobiales; Nitrobacteraceae
Description: bacterial SSU rRNA
Rfam family: Bacterial small subunit ribosomal RNA
Source: RNAcentral